CAACCUCAACUCAUAUGGGACUACCCCCUGAAUUUAAGCAUAUUAAUUAGGGGAGGAAAAGAAACUAACAAGGAUUUUCUUAGUAGCGGCGAGCGAAAAGAAAUCAGUUCAGCACUAAGUCACUUUGUCUAUAUGGCAAAUGUGAGAUGCAGUGUACGGAACAUCAACAUUCUAGUAUGAGAAGUUAACGAUUUAAGUCCUUCUUAAAUGAGGCCAUUUACCCAUAGAGGGUGCCAGGCCCGUAUAACGUUAAUGAUUACUAGAUGGUGUUUCCAAAGAGUCGUGUUGCUUGAUAGUGCAGCACUAAGUGGGUGGUAAACUCCAUCUAAAACUAAAUAUAACCAUGAGACCGAUAGUAAACAAGUACCGUGAGGGAAAGUUGAAAAGAACUCUGAAUAGAGAGUUAAAUAGUACGUGAAACUGCUUAGAGGUUAAGCCCGAUGAACCUGAAUAUCCGUUAUGGAAAAUUCAUCAUUAGAAUUGUAAUAUUUUAAACAAUAUUAUAAUAAUAGUGUGCAUUUUUUCCAUAUAAGGACAUUGUAAUCUAUUAGCAUAAUAUUUAUCAUAAAAUAUGUCUGAUUGCUAUUUGAAUAUAUGCUGGCAUUUACAUAAAUAAAGAAUAAUUUGAUAGUGCUAUAAUUAAUGAUACAUGCGUAUUUCGAAUAAUAUGCAUAUACAUGAAUUGGUAUA
This 690-nucleotide non-coding RNA is filed under the name Drosophila virilis. Its description in RNAcentral is "Eukaryotic large subunit ribosomal RNA". It matches the Rfam family "Eukaryotic large subunit ribosomal RNA", at positions 1 to 639 of the family's 3401-position model. The record is from Rfam by way of RNAcentral. Lineage: Eukaryota; Metazoa; Arthropoda; Insecta; Diptera; Drosophilidae.